Drosophila suzukii is the source of this 384-nucleotide non-coding RNA. The record is from RefSeq and is a predicted model, not a curated record. Lineage: Eukaryota; Metazoa; Arthropoda; Insecta; Diptera; Drosophilidae.
UCAUCUGCGGUCAAUAAAAUCAGCCACGCUCUGCGAUCCCGCACAUAUUUCAAUUUAGUUGAUGUUUUUUAUUUUUGGAGCCAGUAUGAACAAAUAACUUCCCUUUCAGAUAAACAAUACAGUAACUGCUCGUACAAUAGAUGGCUGCUGCUUAUCAACAUGGAACUGGACUGCGGGAAUUGUUAUCCAGCACAAAAAAGAAAUAUGGCUUGGCUGGCAUCCGAUUUCGAAACUCAGUUGCUUUGCUCAUUCAGUGACCACAUUUGUAUUUAUAAAAACAAUUUUCUUGUUCCUUAUAUCAAGAACGCAUUUUGAUGACUAAUCAAUGACUAAUUGUUUUACAUAAAGACUAAAGGAGCGGUAAUAAAAUAUGUACUAAGCUUA